Molecule: ribosomal RNA, 397 nt
Filed under: uncultured bacterium
Lineage: Bacteria
Description: partial 16S ribosomal RNA
Rfam family: Bacterial small subunit ribosomal RNA
Source: RNAcentral
AUACGUAGGGGGCGAGCGUUGUCCGGAAUGAUUGGGCGUAAAGGGCGCGUAGGCGGCCCGGUAAGUCUGGAGUGAAAGUCCUGCUUUUAAGGUGGGAAUUGCUUUGGAUACUGUCGGGCUUGAGUGCAGGAGAGGUAAGUGGAAUUCCCAGUGUAGCGGUGAAAUGCGUAGAGAUUGGGAGGAACACCAGUGGCGAAGGCGAAUUACUGGACUGUAACUGACGCUGAGGCGCGAAAGUGUGGGGAGCAAACAGGAUUAGAUACCCUGGUAGUCCACACUGUAAACGAUGAUUGCUAGGUGUAGGGGGUAUCGACCCCUUCUGUGCCGCAGGUAACACAAUAAGCAUUCCGCCUGGGGAGUACGGCCGCAAGGUGGAAACUCAAAGGAAUUGACGGGG